GCUGGAAUCUUUCCUCUCGCCGUCACCUGGCAGUUGCCAAAUCGCUAGACUAGAUAGUUUCGGCGCAUCUCCAGACUGCCUUUCGGCGCCGCCGGCCGGACCUCACAGCUCGUCUCCAUUCUUCAAGUCUUUGCCAUCCGGAAUUUGUACGCAAGCUACACUCUUACUCGAAAGGUGCCCGAGGUUUUAUGAGCAAGGCCAUCUCUGAUUCGUUGUUUCUUAGGACAGUGUCAACCAUGCAUGCAAGAAUCUCAUGAACUACUCUGCCUAGCACCUAGAAUUAAGAGUACUGUUGCUUAAAUCAUGAAUAAGUGAUCACUAGGUUGAUCAACUUGAAUUGUAGUAAAAAAACAGCACUUCCAAUUCGUGAUGAC
Triticum dicoccoides is the source of this 374-nucleotide long non-coding RNA. RefSeq lists it as uncharacterized. Lineage: Eukaryota; Viridiplantae; Streptophyta; Magnoliopsida; Poales; Poaceae. The transcript is spliced from 3 exons. The record is from RefSeq and is a predicted model, not a curated record.